UAUUUUCCUAGUUUUUUGAGCAGAGCAGGCAACCCUGGCAUUACAUCAGUGAUGAUCUCGGACUCUCUUUCAUUGUUUUUCCUCCUAAAUAUGUACAUGUAUAAUCUACACUACAGGCUCUUAAGACUACACAGCAAAGCUAAAUGGUCUCUCUUCUAUUGUAAUGUCACAUACACACAGGGAGUGGGCCACUAAAUCUAUUUACAAAACUAUCUGCUGAGCUACCACAACAGUUGAUAAACACACCCACAGACAUUUCUUUGGUCAACAAUGCUUUCAGUACAAGUGGUUGUCUUCUUGUUGAGUGUCAGUGAAGUUAUUAGUCAAUGUCCACCUUCCUCAGGUAUCUACCUGAGGCAUAAUGGAACCUGUUAUACUAAUAAUGGAUCAUUUUUUACUGACGGUAGCAUCAGACCAACUCCUCUAGAGUGUGCAUUACCUGGUGCUACUCUGAAUGGUGGAGAAUGGAUUGGUCCUAAUGGAGAAGUUCCUUGUGGCAAUGGUAACAAUCAAAAUGUUCAAUGUACUACUGGUUCCUCAGCUGCUAAUCUCAGUGUUUUCAUAAAUCCACCAAACUUUCUUGGGGCACCUGGUGAUGGCCAGUAUAUGUGUUGUCUACCCACUAGUUGUUCAACUCCUGGUACUAACAUCAUCACUGCUAAUAUAUUCAGUAAGAGGAGACUAUAAUCACUUACUGAUGUAAUAAUUUUUCAUUUGUAGGAU
This is a long non-coding RNA of Amphimedon queenslandica, 723 nucleotides long. RefSeq lists it as uncharacterized. The transcript has 3 exons. The record is from RefSeq and is a predicted model, not a curated record. Lineage: Eukaryota; Metazoa; Porifera; Demospongiae; Haplosclerida; Niphatidae.